RNAcentral lists this ribosomal RNA (507 nucleotides) under uncultured bacterium. RNAcentral's name for it is "bacterial SSU rRNA". It matches the Rfam family "Bacterial small subunit ribosomal RNA", at positions 29 to 524 of the family's 1533-position model. The record is from RNAcentral.
AACGAACGCUGGCGGCGUGGAUAAGACAUGCAAGUCGAACGGAACUAUCAGAGUAGCAAUACAAUGAUAGUUUAGUGGCGAACGGGUGCGUAACACGUGGAUACAUUCCGGGAAGCGGGGGAUAGCCCAGGGAAACUUGGAUUAAUACCGCAUGUGGUCGAAAGACUAAAGACGGGGACCGCAAGGCCUGUCACUUCCCGAUUGGUCCGCGGCCUAUCAGCUAGUUGGCGGGGUAAAAGCCCACCAAGGCUACGACGGGUAGCUGGUCUUAGAGGACGACCAGCCACACUGGAACUGAGACACGGUCCAGACACCUACGGGUGGCAGCAGUCGAGAAUCUUUCACAAUGGGGGCAUCCCUGAUGGAGCGACGCCGCGUGGAGGAUAAGGUCUUCGGAUUGUAAACUCCUGUCAUGCGCGAACAAGGUUGCAGGGUUAAUAACUUUGCAAAUUGAUGGUACCGCAAGAGGAAGAGACGGCUAAACUCUGUGCCAGCAGCCGCGGUAAU